GGGUUGUGAGGUUAAGCGACUAAGCGUACACGGUGGAUGCCCUGGCAGUCAGAGGCGAUGAAGGGCGUGCUAAUCUGCGAUAAGCGCCGGUAAGGUGAUAUGAACCGUUAUAACCGGCGAUACCCGAAUGGGGAAACCCAGUGUGAUUCGUCACACUAUCAUUAACUGAAUCCAUAGGUUAAUGAGGCGAACCGGGGGAACUGAAACAUCUAAGUACCCCGAGGAAAAGAAAUCAACCGAGAUUCCCCCAGUAGCGGCGAGCGAACGGGGAGGAGCCCAGAGCCUGAAUCAGCAUGUGUGUUAGUGGAAGCGUCUGGAAAGGCGCGCGAUACAGGGUGACAGCCCCGUACACAAAAGCGCAUGUGCUGUGAGCUCGAUGAGUAGGGCGGGACACGUGGUAUCCUGUCUGAAUAUGGGGGGACCAUCCUCCAAGGCUAAAUACUCCUGACUGACCGAUAGUGAACCAGUACCGUGAGGGAAAGGCGAAAAGAACCCCGGCGAGGGGAGUGAAAAAGAACCUGAAACCGUGUACGUACAAGCAGUGGGAGCACAGGUUUACCUGUGUGACUGCGUACCUUUUGUAUAAUGGGUCAGCGACUUAUAUUCUGUAGCAAGGUUAACCGAAUAGGGGAGCCGGAGGGAAACCGAGUCUUAAUUGGGCGUUAAGUUGCAGGGUAUAGACCCGAAACCCGGUGAUCUAGCCAUGGGCAGGUUGAAGGUUGGGUAACACUAACUGGAGGACCGAACCGACUAAUGUUGAAAAAUUAGCGGAUGACCUGUGGCUGGGGGUGAAAGGCCAAUCAAACCGGGAGAUAGCUGGUUCUCCCCGAAAGCUAUUUAGGUAGCGCCUCGUGAAUUCAUCUCCGGGGGUAGAGCACUGUUUCGGCUAGGGGGCCAUCCCGGCUUACCAACCCGAUGCAAACUGCGAAUACCGGAGAAUGUUAUCACGGGAGACACACGGCGGGUGCUAACGUCCGUCGUGAAGAGGGAAACAACCCAGACCGCCAGCUAAGGUCCCAAAGUCAUGGUUAAGUGGGAAACGAUGUGGGAAGGCCCAGACAGCCAGGAUGUUGGCUUAGAAGCAGCCAUCAUUUAAAGAAAGCGUAAUAGCUCACUGGUCGAGUCGGCCUGCGCGGAAGAUGUAACGGGGCUAAACCAUGCACCGAAGCUGCGGCAGCGAACGUAUCACCCAAGACAACUUUACGGAGUUGACGAUUGACGGAGCGAAGCGACGUCAAAGCGUUCAUUAAAGUCGAGUUGGCUUAGGGAUACGUUCGUUGGGUAGGGGAGCGUUCUGUAAGCCUGUGAAGGUGUGUCGUGAGGCAUGCUGGAGGUAUCAGAAGUGCGAAUGCUGACAUAAGUAACGAUAAAGCGGGUGAAAAGCCCGCUCGCCGGAAGACCAAGGGUUCCUGUCCAACGUUAAUCGGGGCAGGGUGAGUCGACCCCUAAGGCGAGGCCGAAAGGCGUAGUCGAUGGGAAACGGGUUAAUAUUCCCGUACUUGGUGUUACUGCGAAGGGGGGACGGAGAAGGCUAUGUUGGCCGGGCGACGGUUGUCCCGGUUUAAGCGUGUAGGUGUGUGUUCCAGGUAAAUCCGGUUCACUUUAACACUGAGGCGUGACGACGAGGCACUACGGUGCUGAAGCAACAAAUGCCCUGCUUCCAGGAAAAGCCUCUAAGCAUCAGGUAACACGAAAUCGUACCCCAAACCGACACAGGUGGUCAGGUAGAGAAUACCAAGGCGCUUGAGAGAACUCGGGUGAAGGAACUAGGCAAAAUGGUGCCGUAACUUCGGGAGAAGGCACGCUGACACGUAGGUGAAGUGAUUUACUCAUGGAGCUGAAGUCAGUCGAAGAUACCAGCUGGCUGCAACUGUUUAUUAAAAACACAGCACUGUGCAAACACGAAAGUGGACGUAUACGGUGUGACGCCUGCCCGGUGCCGGAAGGUUAAUUGAUGGGGUCAGCGCAAGCGAAGCUCCUGAUCGAAGCCCCGGUAAACGGCGGCCGUAACUAUAACGGUCCUAAGGUAGCGAAAUUCCUUGUCGGGUAAGUUCCGACCUGCACGAAUGGCGUAAUGAUGGCCAGGCUGUCUCCACCCGAGACUCAGUGAAAUUGAACUCGCUGUGAAGAUGCAGUGUACCCGCGGCAAGACGGAAAGACCCCGUGAACCUUUACUAUAGCUUGACACUGAACAUUGAGCCUUGAUGUGUAGGAUAGGUGGGAGGCUUUGAAGUGUGGACGCCAGUCUGCAUGGAGCCGACCUUGAAAUACCACCCUUUAAUGUUUGAUGUUCUAACGUGGACCCGUAAUCCGGGUUGCGGACAGUGUCUGGUGGGUAGUUUGACUGGGGCGGUCUCCUCCUAAAGAGUAACGGAGGAGCACGAAGGUUGGCUAAUCCUGGUCGGACAUCAGGAGGUUAGUGCAAUGGCAUAAGCCAGCUUGACUGCGAGCGUGACGGCGCGAGCAGGUGCGAAAGCAGGUCAUAGUGAUCCGGUGGUUCUGAAUGGAAGGGCCAUCGCUCAACGGAUAAAAGGUACUCCGGGGAUAACAGGCUGAUACCGCCCAAGAGUUCAUAUCGACGGCGGUGUUUGGCACCUCGAUGUCGGCUCAUCACAUCCUGGGGCUGAAGUAGGUCCCAAGGGUAUGGCUGUUCGCCAUUUAAAGUGGUACGCGAGCUGGGUUUAGAACGUCGUGAGACAGUUCGGUCCCUAUCUGCCGUGGGCGCUGGAGAACUGAGGGGGGCUGCUCCUAGUACGAGAGGACCGGAGUGGACGCAUCACUGGUGUUCGGGUUGUCAUGCCAAUGGCACUGCCCGGUAGCUAAAUGCGGAAGAGAUAAGUGCUGAAAGCAUCUAAGCACGAAACUUGCCCCGAGAUGAGUUCUCCCUGAGACUUAGAGUCUCCUGAAGGAACGUUGAAGACGACGACGUUGAUAGGCCGGGUGUGUAAGCGCAGCGAUGCGUUGAGCUAACCGGUACUAAUGAACCGUGAGGCUUAACCUUACAACGCCGAAG
Molecule: ribosomal RNA, 3013 nt
Filed under: Staphylococcus aureus
Lineage: Bacteria; Bacillati; Bacillota; Bacilli; Caryophanales; Staphylococcaceae
Also listed under: 4 other names
Description: 23S ribosomal RNA
Rfam family: Bacterial large subunit ribosomal RNA
Source: RNAcentral